AGGCCUGCAGAGAUAGAGGCAGGGUCUGAUCCACAGUCUCUGUGGCAGCUGUUUAUCAGCUGUUGCCUCUCUCUUUCUCUCCG
Molecule: non-coding RNA, 83 nt
Organism: Myotis lucifugus (little brown bat)
Lineage: Eukaryota; Metazoa; Chordata; Mammalia; Chiroptera; Vespertilionidae
Source: Rfam